RNAcentral lists this ribosomal RNA (263 nucleotides) under uncultured archaeon. RNAcentral's name for it is "partial 16S ribosomal RNA". It matches the Rfam family "Archaeal small subunit ribosomal RNA", at positions 717 to 982 of the family's 1478-position model. The record is from RNAcentral.
ACACGACUACAUUAGAUACCCGGGUAGUCCUAGGCGUAAAUGAUGCGAGUUAAGUGUGGGGGCAUCUACGAGAUGGCCCUGUGCUGUAGGGUAGCCGUUACACUCGCUGCCUGGGGAGUACGGUCGCAAGGCUGAAACUUAAAGGAAUUGGCGGGGAGCACCACAAGAGGUGGAGGCUGCGGUUCAAUUGGACUCAACGCCGGAAACUCAUCGGGAGCGACAGCAGUAUGAUUGCCAGGUUGAUGACCUUGCUUGACAAGCUG